AUAACAAUACAGGACUCUUUAGAGGCCCUGUAAUUGUAAUAAGUCCACUUGAAAUCCUUUAACUCUGAUCAAUUGGAGGGCAAGUCUGGUGCAGAGCGACUGACCCGUGCGUGCUGCAGCUGAAACUCCACUAUCGCCUGCUGCUGCUCGCCCAGUCUCUCCAG
Molecule: non-coding RNA, 164 nt
Organism: Pelobates cultripes (western spadefoot toad)
Lineage: Eukaryota; Metazoa; Chordata; Amphibia; Anura; Pelobatidae
Source: the annotation of a GenBank genome assembly